This 253-nucleotide ribosomal RNA is filed under the name uncultured prokaryote. RNAcentral's name for it is "partial 16S ribosomal RNA". It matches the Rfam family "Bacterial small subunit ribosomal RNA", at positions 525 to 777 of the family's 1533-position model. The record is from RNAcentral.
ACAGAGGGUGCAAGCGUUAAUCGGAAUUACUGGGCGUAAAGCGCGCGUAGGUGGUUUGUUAAGUCAGACGUGAAAUCCCCAAGCUUAACUUGGGAACUGCGUCUGAUACUGGGUGGCUUGAGUUCGGGAGAGGAAUGUGGAAUUCCAGGUGUAGCGGUGAAAUGCGUAGAUAUCUGGAGGAACACCGGUGGCGAAGGCGGCAUUCUGGACCGAAACUGACGCUGAUGCGCGAAAGCCCGGGGAGCAAACGGGA